ACUCAAUUUUCUGUGCAAUAUUCUUAAAAUCCUAACAUUUAGAGAUUUUAAAACUGGUUUCAGUGCUUUGAGAUUAUUCCACACCUCCUUGACAGUACCUUGAGUAGUAUUUCUCCAAUUCUCCUUGAUAAGUUGCUGGAAGUCCUUAUGAUUAGCCCAUGCAUUAUAGAAUCUGAAGGGGGCCUUCCUGAUCAUAGUAGCUUCAGUCAAAGUGAGCACCAUUGGAUUAUGAUCAGAGAUUAGUGGAGGAUCAUAUACAGUUUGUACAUGGCUCCAUUUAAUCAUCCAUUCAUAAUUACCAAAUAUUCUGUCCAAUCUGCUACAAACUCUAUCAUUGCCAGUUUGUUUAUUGGUC
RNAcentral lists this long non-coding RNA (355 nucleotides) under Nicotiana benthamiana. RNAcentral's name for it is "long non-coding RNA (NBEN_LNC005742)". Lineage: Eukaryota; Viridiplantae; Streptophyta; Magnoliopsida; Solanales; Solanaceae. The record is from RNAcentral.